Molecule: ribosomal RNA, 696 nt
Filed under: uncultured fungus
Lineage: Eukaryota; Fungi
Description: eukaryotic LSU rRNA
Source: RNAcentral
AGAGGAAGUAAAAGUCGUAACAAGGUUUCNAYAGGUGAACCUGCGGAAGGAUCAUUACUGAAGCUUCUGGGAGUGUGGAUCUGCCCCGAGAGGGGAUGUGAUCGCCUCUCAAUCUUCUCAUUAACCACCUGUGCACUUUUGUUUGGACCGUGGAGACUCUCACUGAAAAUGUGGAACGGGUCCUUGCGUGUAAAAGCGCUUGGAACCGAUUUUGCGGUCCAUUCCUUUACAAACUACUUUAAACUUUAGAAUGUCUGUUAUGGGGUUGUACCCCAUAUAAAAUAAAUACAACUUUCAGCAACGGAUCUCUUGGCUCUCGCAUCGAUGAAGAACGCAGCGAAAUGCGAUAAGUAAUGUGAAUUGCAGAAUUCAGUGAAUCAUCGAAUCUUUGAACGCACCUUGCACCCUUUGGUAUUCCGAAGGGUAUGCCUGUUUGAGUGUCAUUAAAUUCUCAAGUCCUGAAAUUUUUUUCUUGGCUUGGAUCUGGGGGCUGCUGAGACUUUUCAAGGCUUGGCUCCUCUUAAAAGCAUUAGUGGCUUGUCGAUCCCCAUCUUGGUGUGAUAGUCAUAUCUACAUUUUGAUGGUUAGGUCAUGCAAUGNCAACCUGGCUGCUCUCUAACCGUCUCAUGGCGGGACAACUUGAACAAUUUGACCUCAAAUCAGGUAGGACUACCCGCUGAACUUAAGCAUAUCAAU